RNAcentral lists this transfer RNA (85 nucleotides) under Hydrocarboniphaga effusa AP103. RNAcentral's name for it is "tRNA-Leu". It matches the Rfam family "tRNA". From Rfam's summary of the family: Transfer RNA (tRNA) molecules are approximately 80 nucleotides in length. RNAcentral also lists the same sequence under 6 other names. Lineage: Bacteria; Pseudomonadati; Pseudomonadota; Gammaproteobacteria; Nevskiales; Nevskiaceae. The record is from RNAcentral.
GCGAGAGUGGCGGAAUUGGUAGACGCCCGGGAUUUAGGUUCCCGUGCCGCAAGGCGUGCGAGUUCGAGUCUCGCCUUUCGCACCA